UGAUCCAGCCAUGCCGCGUGAGUGAAGAAGGCCUUCGGGUUGUAAAGCUCUUUCAGAUGCGAAGAUGAUGACGGUAACAUCAGAAGAAGCCCCGGCUAAUUUCGUGCCAGCAGCCGCGGUAAUACGAAAGGGGCUAGCGUUGUUCGGAUUUACUGGGCGUAAAGGGCACGCAGGCGGUCUUGCCAGUCAGGGGUGAAAGCCCGGGGCUCAACCCCGGAACUGCCUCUGAUACUGCAAGACUAGAGACUAGGAGAGGGUGGUGGAAUUCCCAGUGUAGAGGUGAAAUUCGUAGAUAUUGGGAGGAACACCAGAGGCGAAGGCGGCCACCUGGACUAAAUCUGACGCUCAGGUGCGAAAGCGUGGGGAGCAAACAGGAUUAGAUACCCUGGUAGUCCACGCCGUAAACGAUGAGUGCUAGUUGUCGGGACUUCGGUUUCGGUGACGCAGCUAACGCAUUAAGCACUCCGCCUGGGGAGUACGGUCGCAAGAUUAAAACUCAAAGGAAUUGACGGAAA
RNAcentral lists this ribosomal RNA (515 nucleotides) under uncultured bacterium. RNAcentral describes it as "bacterial SSU rRNA". It matches the Rfam family "Bacterial small subunit ribosomal RNA", at positions 384 to 919 of the family's 1533-position model. The record is from RNAcentral.